Molecule: ribosomal RNA, 408 nt
Filed under: Triticum aestivum (bread wheat)
Lineage: Eukaryota; Viridiplantae; Streptophyta; Magnoliopsida; Poales; Poaceae
Description: partial small subunit ribosomal RNA
Source: RNAcentral
AUGGUAGAAGGCGGCAGCGGCGCGGGGGCUACGUCGACCUGCCGGCGCGGCGGCGGCGGCGGCAUCGUCGGCCCGGCGGCCCAGCGGUGCUGCGGCGGCGGGUGCGGGCUCGGACGCCUGGUGCGCCGGCUGCGUCGCCAGGGGAGGCAGGCGCUGUGCGCGGCCAGGCCGGCGGCGUCGUCGUCGGCGCUCCGGGGGUGCCAGUACGACCCGCUGAGCUACGCGCGCAACUUCGACCAGAGCGGCUUCGACGCGGACGCGGCCAGCCUCUACUACAGCUACACCUUCUCGUCCCGCUUCGUGCUCGCGCCAGGCAGCGCCACCUCGUCCUCAACCGCCGUCGCGGCCGUCGUCCCCGCGCCGAACGGCCUCGUCGUCGCCAGCCGGCCAACCGCCGCCAGCCAUUAG